RNAcentral lists this ribosomal RNA (460 nucleotides) under uncultured bacterium. Its description in RNAcentral is "partial 16S ribosomal RNA". It matches the Rfam family "Bacterial small subunit ribosomal RNA", at positions 338 to 795 of the family's 1533-position model. The record is from RNAcentral.
CCUACGGGAGGCAGCAGUGAGGAAUAUUGGUCAAUGGACGAGAGUCUGAACCAGCCAAGUAGCGUGAAGGAUGACUGCCCUAUGGGUUGUAAACUUCUUUUAUAUGGGAAUAAAAUGUUCCACGUGUGGGAUUUUGUAUGUACCAUAUGAAUAAGGAUCGGCUAACUCCGUGCCAGCAGCCGCGGUAAUACGGAGGAUCCGAGCGUAAUCCGGAUUUAUUGGGUUGAAAGGUAGCGUAGGUGGAUUGUUAAGUCAGUUGUGAAAGUUUGCGGCUCAACCGUAAAAUUGCAGUUGAAACUGGCAGUCUUGAGUACAGUAGAGGUGGGCGGAAUUCGUGGUGUAGCGGUGAAAUGCUUAGAUAUCACGAAGAACUCCGAUUGCGAAGGCAGUUCACUGGACUGCAACUGACACUGAGGCUCGAAAGUGUGGGUAUCAAACAGGAUUAGAUACCCUGGUAGUC